This 681-nucleotide ribosomal RNA is filed under the name uncultured fungus. RNAcentral's name for it is "eukaryotic LSU rRNA". The stretch from base 226 to 379 matches the Rfam family "5.8S ribosomal RNA". Lineage: Eukaryota; Fungi. The record is from RNAcentral.
CUUGGUCAUUUAGAGGAAGUAAAAGUCGUAACAAGGUUUCCGUAGGUGAACCUGCGGAAGGAUCAUUCACAAUGAGUGUUUUAUGGCACUCUUUAAAAAUCCAUAUCCACCUCGUGUGCAAUGUUUGUUGGGAGAGAGGCAACUCUUUCCCUUCACAAAUAUCAACCUAUAUCUUUAACAACAUUCGUCUGAUAACAUAUUAUGAAUAUACUUAAUUCAAAAUAUAACUUUCAACAACGGAUCUCUUGGCUCUCGCAUCGAUGAAGAACGCAGCGAAAUGCGAUACGUAAUGUGAAUUGCAGAAUUCAGUGAAUCAUCGAAUCCUUGAACGCAUAUUGCGCUCUUUGGUAUUCCGAAGAGCAUGCUUGUUUGAGUAUCAGUAAACACCUCAACCUCCUCUUGUUUUUUCAAAAGGAGGGUGGACUUGAGCUAUCCCAACAACCUUCACCGGUAGGCGGGCGGCUUGAAAUGCAGGUGCAGCUGGACUUUUAUCUGAGCUAAAAGCAUAUCUAUUUAGUCCUCGUCAAACAGGAUUAUUACUAUUGCUGCAGCUAACAUAAAGGAUAAUUGUCCUCAUUGCUGACUGAUGCAGGAUUUUACGACACUUUAUGUGUUGUUCAACUCGAUCUCAAAUCAAGUAAGACUACCCGCUGAACUUAAGCAUAUCAAUAAGCGGAGGAA